Long non-coding RNA from Hipposideros armiger (great roundleaf bat), 1609 nucleotides. RefSeq lists it as uncharacterized. Lineage: Eukaryota; Metazoa; Chordata; Mammalia; Chiroptera; Hipposideridae. The transcript has 2 exons. The record is from RefSeq and is a predicted model, not a curated record.
UUGAAGUGAAAGAAAAAUAACAUUUUUUCUUGACCAUAUUCUAAGUCCUUCCAAUCUUCAACAUAAAUAAUUUACAAAGGUGCCACCUUACUUUUCAUACCUUACUUUUCAUACCUGGCACUAACAUUCCUUUUACUCUUUACAAGUCAAAAAUAUAUGCCUUAAAACAUCGUGACUAUGUAAAAAGACUCACUCUUUAUUUUAGGUGAAUACAGUUGAACAUAUGCAGAACUUAUAAUCAACCCAGAGCUGUUCUGGUUAAACCUUGGAAAAUGGGAUCAUCUGGUAAAGAAUAAAGGUGCAACAGGAUGGCUGGAGUGUGCUGGAGCUGGGUAUUUCCUUUCUGACACAUGGAACACUUGAGUUGGGUGGAAUUGGAUAUUUUCCUUGCCCAGUCAGUUAGGCCUUGAUAAUAAUACCCCAGCCUGUUAGGGUUUGGUUAACUAAGUUUCCCCGGAGGGUGAGCCUUAUUAAGAACAGUGUUCUUGUGUAUUUCAAAAUGAUUCCUUUCCCUCCACCUGCUGGAAGCCCAAGGGAUUUUUUUUUUUCCUGAUAUUUACUAUGGGAAUCUGGUCAAGCUCCUGGAGGUAAGUCUCACAAUAUUGUAGGAGCUCUUCAUGACUGGGUCCCUUUGUUUUUAACUCUAAGAAUCAUCCACACUGAGCUUGCAACAAUUUAUCAAUUACAGUUCAGGUUUUCCUACCCCAGCACUGGUUCCCACCCUGGUUUCUGCUCAAUGUGUCUUCUGCUCUGGUAAAUUGUGUCACCCUUUAUUCACCUUCUUCUCCAAACUGGACCUCAUAGAUCCAGGAAGAGUUGAUUUUUCAGUCUAACACUUUUCUUGUUGCAAGGAUGGAGUGGCAACUUCUACACAAGCUUAUUACAUGCAGGAUUGGAAACUAAAAGUGGAUUAUUUUUUUAAAUACAAAUACCCAAACACAUAUCAUGUUCAAUUAGUCAGUCCCUUCUAAGGAUGAGUUCUAGGAACAUACACUUUAACCAGCUUUCCAAGUGUAUUUUACACACACAGAAGUAUGAAAAUAGCUGGAAUAAAUGAAUACUGGGAAAAAAAUGGAAACACUUCUCAGAUAAAGUAAUUUCAUCUGAUUCUGUAGCACAUUUUCUUCCCAGUUAAACAUAUUAGCUUAAAAAAAAUCUGUACAAAAGUACAAUAAUUUAGUGUAAAAUACAACAACUAUAAAAAUAACCAGACUCCCAAAUAAUGUAAUACUACUCUUAUUAUUACAUUUUGGCCAGGUAGAAAGAUUCUACAUAGCAUUUGAAUUCUGAAAUUCUGGACUUGUGUACUGGCACUGAACUUCAUACUGUAUAAAGUUGGGAAAGUCACAUAAACUUUGUUUAUUUUUCCCUUUAUAGCAUAAUAAUACGAGUAAUUCCUCUCUCACUGAUGUUAAAAACCUGAGGUAUAUAUCAAAAUACUUAAUAAAUGGAAAGGGUUAUGCAAAUACCAAUGUGCUUAGCAUCUAACAUAAAAUCCAUUGACUGUUUGCAUUUUCAAAUCUCAUUUCUAGCUAUUUCCCUUCUUACUCUGUAAUAGGUCCCAGAUCAUUCUUUUACUUCCCUCAAUAAACUAGGCUUACUCUUGGAA